UCCGUAGCUUGAUAUGCAAGUCUCUUGAGAAAUCCGCCAGCUUAACUGGUGGGCGUUCAGGGGAAACUGCAUUUCUAGGGACCGGGAGAGGUGAGAGGUACUGCCGGGGUAGGAGUGAAAUCCUGUAAUCCCGGUGGGACCACCUAUGGCGAAGGCAUCUCACCAGAACGGGUCCGACAGUGAGGGACGAAAGCUGGGGGGAGCAAACC
RNAcentral lists this ribosomal RNA (209 nucleotides) under uncultured Methanospirillum sp. RNAcentral describes it as "partial 16S ribosomal RNA". It matches the Rfam family "Archaeal small subunit ribosomal RNA", at positions 518 to 725 of the family's 1478-position model. The record is from RNAcentral. Lineage: Archaea; Methanobacteriati; Methanobacteriota; Methanomicrobia; Methanomicrobiales; Methanospirillaceae.